GGUGAAGGAACUAGGCAAAAUGGUGCCGUAACUUCGGGAGAAGGCACGCUGACACGUAGGUGAAGUGAUUUACUCAUGGAGCUGAAGUCAGUCGAAGAUACCAGCUGGCUGCAACUGUUUAUUAAAAACACAGCACUGUGCAAACACGAAAGUGGACGUAUACGGUGUGACGCCUGCCCGGUGCCGGAAGGUUAAUUGAUGGGGUCAGCGCAAGCGAAGCUCCUGAUCGAAGCCCCGGUAAACGGCGGCCGUAACUAUAACGGUCCUAAGGUAGCGAAAUUCCUUGUCGGGUAAGUUCCGACCUGCACGAAUGGCGUAAUGAUGGCCAGGCUGUCUCCACCCGAGACUCAGUGAAAUUGAACUCGCUGUGAAGAUGCAGUGUACCCGCGGCAAGACGGAAAGACCCCGUGAACCUUUACUAUAGCUUGACACUGAACAUUGAGCCUUGAUGUGUAGGAUAGGUGGGAGGCUUUGAAGUGUGGACGCCAGUCUGCAUGGAGCCGACCUUGAAAUACCACCCUUUAAUGUUUGAUGUUCUAACGUGGACCCGUGAUCCGGGUUGCGGACAGUGUCUGGUGGGUAGUUUGACUGGGGCGGUCUCCUCCUAAAGAGUAACGGAGGAGCACGAAGGUUGGCUAAUCCUGGUCGGACAUCAGGAGGUUAGUGCAAUGGCAUAAGCCAGCUUGACUGCGAGCGUGACGGCGCGAGCAGGUGCGAAAGCAGGUCAUAGUGAUCCGGUGGUUCUGAAUGGAAGGGCCAUCGCUCAACGGAUAAAAGGUACUCCGGGGAUAACAGGCUGAUACCGCCCAAGAGUUCAUAUCGACGGCGGUGUUUGGCACCUCGAUGUCGGCUCAUCACAUCCUGGGGCUGAAGUAGGUCCCAAGGGUAUGGCUGUUCGCCAUUUAAAGUGGUACGCGAGCUGGGUUUAGAACGUCGUGAGACAGUUCGGUCCCUAUCUGCCGUGGGCGCUGGAGAACUGAGGGGGGCUGCUCCUAGUACGAGAGGACCGGAGUGGACGCAUCACUGGUGUUCGGGUUGUCAUGCCAAUGGCACUGCCCGGUAGCUAAAUGCGGAAGAGAUAAGUGCUGAAAGCAUCUAAGCACGAAACUUGCCCCGAGAUGAGUUCUCCCUGAGACUUUAGGUCUCCUGAAGGAACGUUGAAGACGACGACGUUGAUAGGCCGGGUGUGUAAGCGCAGCGAUGCGUUGAGCUAACCGGUACUAAUGAACCGUGAGGCUUAACCUUACA
RNAcentral lists this ribosomal RNA (1248 nucleotides) under Salmonella enterica. Its description in RNAcentral is "partial 23S ribosomal RNA". It matches the Rfam family "Bacterial large subunit ribosomal RNA", at positions 1703 to 2925 of the family's 2925-position model. Lineage: Bacteria; Pseudomonadati; Pseudomonadota; Gammaproteobacteria; Enterobacterales; Enterobacteriaceae. The record is from RNAcentral.